Molecule: long non-coding RNA, 612 nt
Filed under: Equus caballus (horse)
Lineage: Eukaryota; Metazoa; Chordata; Mammalia; Perissodactyla; Equidae
Description: lncRNA (ENSECAG00000038321.2)
Source: RNAcentral
AUCAAAGCUUGGCUUGCCCUUUGUGCCAGCAUCUUGUAGCUGGGAUCAUUCAGGUGCACACUCUGAUACGCAUUGGGGCGAGGACAGGGGCAGCUGAUGGCAGCAAGGCAGGAGGGCACAUCGGAUCAGACCUGCUCCCAGGAAGCUCACCCAGCACGGAACACAAACGGGAGGCCCAGCAGACAGGAGGAGGAGGUCCCGGGACAGAAGAGAGAACUACUUGGAGUUUCCUACGUGGCGACGACACUUCCCAAAUGCUGACGCUCUGCCCCUCUUCGAAGGCCUGCUUUUAUUUUUCCUGUCCAGGUCAUCUGUGCAAGUCAUUAAAGUUAAAGGUUCCGACUGUGCUAUUCUAGAAAAGACAAGAACAACAGACUCCUUAAGCAGGCUAGCCCAGGCAUGUUCUCAUGGCACGGUGGAGAGACACUACAGAGGAAGUGGAAUCAUGCAGGCUAUUCAACCUUCCAAGUGUGAGAUGUUGCUAACUACCAUCCCGUUGGCCAAAGUUCUUUUCCUACCUGAGGCACCGUAGGACCCCUGGUUCAGCCUCAUAAGGAGCCAUAUACUGGAUCUCUCCAGUGUGUGGCCAGAAGCUGCUGCCCAGAGACCAGC